RNAcentral lists this ribosomal RNA (446 nucleotides) under uncultured bacterium. RNAcentral's name for it is "partial 16S ribosomal RNA". It matches the Rfam family "Bacterial small subunit ribosomal RNA", at positions 338 to 795 of the family's 1533-position model. The record is from RNAcentral.
CCUACGGGUGGCAGCAGUAGGGAAUUUUCGGCAAUGGGGGGAACCCUGACCGAGCAACGCCGCGUGAACGAUGCAGUUAUUCGUAAUGUAAAGUUCUUUUAACAGGGAAGAAAGAGAAAUCUGACGGUACCUGAAGAAUAUGCUCCGUCAAACUACGUGCCAGCAGCCGCGGUAAUACGUAGGGAGCGAGCGUUAUCCGUAAUUAUGGGGCGAAAGGGGUGCGUAGAUGGCAUAGUAAGUCUUUUGUAAAAAUGCUGGGCUCAACCUAGUAGGGCAAAAGAUACUGCAAAGCUAGAGUAUAACAGAGGCAAGUGGAACUAGAUGUGUAGCGGUAAAAUGCGUAGAUAUAUGUAAGAACCCCAGUGGCGAAGGCAGCUUGCUGGGUCGAUACUGACAUUGAGGCACGAAAGCGUGGGGAGCAAACAGGAUUAGAUACCCCUGUAGUC